AUACUUACCUGGCGGGAGAGACAUCAUGAUCAUGAAGGUUCACCCAGGGUGAGGCCCAGCCAUUGCUGUGCUGACCCCUGUGAAUUCCCCAAAUGUGGGAAUCUCCACUGCAUAAUUUCUGGUAGGGGGGGGCACUGCAUUCGCACUCUCCCCCU
Molecule: small nuclear RNA, 155 nt
Filed under: Paramormyrops kingsleyae
Lineage: Eukaryota; Metazoa; Chordata; Actinopteri; Osteoglossiformes; Mormyridae
Description: U1 spliceosomal RNA (ENSPKIG00000011725.1)
Rfam family: U1 spliceosomal RNA
About the family: U1 is a small nuclear RNA (snRNA) component of the spliceosome (involved in pre-mRNA splicing).
Source: RNAcentral